UGUCUUUGCCAAAGUCAGAUCUGAAUCCAUCCUUAGCCUUAGAGUAGCAAACAAUGAAGAGUUCAUUGAGUAUGCCAAUGAACACAAUGAAGGCAGCCCCUGCUCCAAAGACUCCUUUCCUCAAGAUCUCGCAAGAAGGAGGUUGGUCCCCAAAAAUUGUCCUGUAUCUGGUAUGGUAGGCAUUCCUCACAGAACCCGCAAGCAAGCAAAUCUCCGCGAUAAAAAAUGCCAACCUGCGAGUGAUGAAAGUGGA
Molecule: long non-coding RNA, 253 nt
Organism: Telopea speciosissima
Lineage: Eukaryota; Viridiplantae; Streptophyta; Magnoliopsida; Proteales; Proteaceae
Exons: 3
Source: RefSeq, a predicted model, not a curated record